RNAcentral lists this ribosomal RNA (253 nucleotides) under uncultured bacterium. Its description in RNAcentral is "partial 16S ribosomal RNA". It matches the Rfam family "Bacterial small subunit ribosomal RNA", at positions 524 to 776 of the family's 1533-position model. The record is from RNAcentral.
UACGGAGGGUGCAAGCGUUGUUCGGAAUUAUUGGGCGUAAAGCGCGUGUAGGCGGUCUGUUAAGUCUGAUGUGAAAGCCCCGGGCUCAACCCGGGAAGUGCAUUGGAAACUGGCAGACUUGAGUACGGGAGAGGGUAGUGGAAUUCCGAGUGUAGGGGUGAAAUCCGUAGAUAUUCGGAGGAACACCGGUGGCGAAGGCGGCUACCUGGACCGAUACUGACGCUGAGACGCGAAAGCGUGGGGAGCAAACAGG